AAUCAUACAGUAUUGUUUGAGUAUCCUGAAAACGGGCUUUUCAGAAUAGUACUGUAUAAAGUUAAUUUAGGAGUGCAUAGUGGCCCGUAUAGCAGGCAUUAACAUUCCUGAU
This 112-nucleotide small RNA is filed under the name Proteus mirabilis HI4320. It matches the Rfam family "Alpha operon ribosome binding site". Rfam says of the family: The bacterial alpha operon ribosome binding site is surrounded by this complex pseudoknotted structure. Translation of the mRNA produces 4 ribosomal protein products, one of which (S4) acts as a translational repressor by binding to the nested pseudoknot region. Lineage: Bacteria; Pseudomonadati; Pseudomonadota; Gammaproteobacteria; Enterobacterales; Morganellaceae. The record is from RNAcentral.